This 256-nucleotide ribosomal RNA is filed under the name uncultured bacterium. RNAcentral describes it as "partial 16S ribosomal RNA". It matches the Rfam family "Bacterial small subunit ribosomal RNA", at positions 524 to 776 of the family's 1533-position model. The record is from RNAcentral.
GACGUAGGAGGCGAGCGUUGUCCGGAUUCAUUGGGCGUAAAGAGCGCGCAGGCGGCUUGGUAAGUCGGAUGUGAAAUCCCGAGGCUCAACCUCGGGUCUGCAUCCGAUACUGCCCGGCUAGAGGUAGGUAGGGGAGAUCGGAAUUCCUGGUGUGAGCGGUGGAAAUGACGCAGAUAUCAGGAGGAACACCGGUGGCGAAGGCGGAUCUCUGGGCCUUACCUGACGCUCAGGCGCGAAAGCGUGGGGAGCAAACAGG